Molecule: transfer RNA, 65 nt
Filed under: Opecarcinus hypostegus
Lineage: Eukaryota; Metazoa; Arthropoda; Malacostraca; Decapoda; Cryptochiridae
Description: tRNA-Phe
Source: RNAcentral
ACCUAUAUAAUUUAUGUGAGAAUAUUGUGCUGAAGAUACAAAAGAGAUUUAUUAAUUGUCUGUAG